RNAcentral lists this ribosomal RNA (1576 nucleotides) under Salmonella enterica. Its description in RNAcentral is "partial 23S ribosomal RNA". It matches the Rfam family "Bacterial large subunit ribosomal RNA", at positions 1243 to 2802 of the family's 2925-position model. RNAcentral also lists the same sequence under 1 other name. The record is from RNAcentral. Lineage: Bacteria; Pseudomonadati; Pseudomonadota; Gammaproteobacteria; Enterobacterales; Enterobacteriaceae.
UAAGCCUGUGAAGGUGGCCUGUGAGGGUUGCUGGAGGUAUCAGAAGUGCGAAUGCUGACAUAAGUAACGAUAAAGCGGGUGAAAAGCCCGCUCGCCGGAAGACCAAGGGUUCCUGUCCAACGUUAAUCGGGGCAGGGUGAGUCGACCCCUAAGGCGAGGCCGAAAGGCGUAGUCGAUGGGAAACGGGUUAAUAUUCCCGUACUUGGUGUUACUGCGAAGGGGGGACGGAGAAGGCUAUGUUGGCCGGGCGACGGUUGUCCCGGUUUAAGCGUGUAGGUGUGUGUUCCAGGUAAAUCCGGUUCACUUUAACACUGAGGCGUGAUGACGAGGCACUACGGUGCUGAAGCAACAAAUGCCCUGCUUCCAGGAAAAGCCUCUAAGCAUCAGGUAACAUCAAAUCGUACCCCAAACCGACACAGGUGGUCAGGUAGAGAAUACCAAGGCGCUUGAGAGAACUCGGGUGAAGGAACUAGGCAAAAUGGUGCCGUAACUUCGGGAGAAGGCACGCUGACAUGUAGGUGAAGUGAUUUACUCAUGGAGCUGAAGUCAGUCGAAGAUACCAGCUGGCUGCAACUGUUUAUUAAAAACACAGCACUGUGCAAACACGAAAGUGGACGUAUACGGUGUGACGCCUGCCCGGUGCCGGAAGGUUAAUUGAUGGGGUCAGCGCAAGCGAAGCUCCUGAUCGAAGCCCCGGUAAACGGCGGCCGUAACUAUAACGGUCCUAAGGUAGCGAAAUUCCUUGUCGGGUAAGUUCCGACCUGCACGAAUGGCGUAAUGAUGGCCAGGCUGUCUCCACCCGAGACUCAGUGAAAUUGAACUCGCUGUGAAGAUGCAGUGUACCCGCGGCAAGACGGAAAGACCCCGUGAACCUUUACUAUAGCUUGACACUGAACAUUGAGCCUUGAUGUGUAGGAUAGGUGGGAGGCUUUGAAGUGUGGACGCCAGUCUGCAUGGAGCCGACCUUGAAAUACCACCCUUUAAUGUUUGAUGUUCUAACGUGGACCCGUAAUCCGGGUUGCGGACAGUGUCUGGUGGGUAGUUUGACUGGGGCGGUCUCCUCCUAAAGAGUAACGGAGGAGCACGAAGGUUGGCUAAUCCUGGUCGGACAUCAGGAGGUUAGUGCAAUGGCAUAAGCCAGCUUGACUGCGAGCGUGACGGCGCGAGCAGGUGCGAAAGCAGGUCAUAGUGAUCCGGUGGUUCUGAAUGGAAGGGCCAUCGCUCAACGGAUAAAAGGUACUCCGGGGAUAACAGGCUGAUACCGCCCAAGAGUUCAUAUCGACGGCGGUGUUUGGCACCUCGAUGUCGGCUCAUCACAUCCUGGGGCUGAAGUAGGUCCCAAGGGUAUGGCUGUUCGCCAUUUAAAGUGGUACGCGAGCUGGGUUUAGAACGUCGUGAGACAGUUCGGUCCCUAUCUGCCGUGGGCGCUGGAGAACUGAGGGGGGCUGCUCCUAGUACGAGAGGACCGGAGUGGACGCAUCACUGGUGUUCGGGUUGUCAUGCCAAUGGCACUGCCCGGUAGCUAAAUGCGGAAGAGAUAAGUGCUGAAAGCAUCUAAGCACGAAACUUGCCCCGA